Molecule: long non-coding RNA, 1524 nt
Organism: Astatotilapia calliptera (eastern happy)
Lineage: Eukaryota; Metazoa; Chordata; Actinopteri; Cichliformes; Cichlidae
Source: Ensembl
CAAAUUUGAUGGAGAGAGGACUGAUGGAAGCAAAGGGUGUUUGUGUGUGUGUGUGCACGUAUAUGUGCAUGUGAGUUUUUGCAAGCUUCUGUUCUCCAAACCUCAGAACUUGCGCUGCACUCCAUCACCAGGGGAACAGAUAGCUUUUAGCAAGAUACCCUGAGGUGGAAAAGACUGCUCAGCCUUCCUCUUUUUUCCUGCUCUCUCCUCUUUGAUCUUUCUCCUUCGAAGCAUUUUGUUUUUCUCUGGUAACCCAAUGACACUUCCUUUUUUUUGCAAGGCAAGUAUGAAUUGAAAUAAAUUUCUCUCUCUGCUUAUGCUGCUCCUGUGGACAUAAACCUUUUCUAUCCCGAGCAGUCAGUGCUGUCAUUGAAACAUAUUACCUCUGUUUCCUACCCUGCACACACAGGAAGUGCUGAAUUUUCAAGGCUGGAAAUGAAUAGCAGGGAUCAUUUCACGUUGGCAGUUUUUUUUUUUUUUUAACUUAUCAGCCUUGUUUACCAUUUCUAUUGUUUCCCACAGCGAGCAGAUCUGAGCUGGAUGGCAAACAUCAGAGACAAACCUAGUGGGUGAUGAAACACAAGGACACACACAAUGCGGCGUUGAGGAGGCAGGGUUGUGUGGUCUAGCGAGCUGUCUGAAAGAAAAGAAACUGGUGGAACUUGAGCACAUCCCUCGAAUGUUCCAGUCUCCUCGCAAUCCUUGGAAAAGUUUUUGGCGAAGUUGUAAAAGGAAGCAGAUGCCAGAUGUGCACGCCAUAUGCUGGGGGUCUUAAAUUAAGCCCUUUUCACUGUUAACUACCACACAUCAGUCUAUGUCCUCUUGCGUCAGCUGGCGUCGCUCAGACAUCUUCAGUCCUUCGGGGCUGGUCCAGCAUGCUCCAUUCCUGUUUCCAGUCCUUCUUCUUCUUCUGUGUGCUGACAGGACCACCUGGUGCUGCUGCUGGUUGCCAGAUUUUGGAUUAUCCUGCAUAACAAUGGGCUAAAGGACUGUUUGGAUCAGUUCCACUCUCGAGCUGCCAGGGACCGCUCUGCCUCUUGCUCUUCAGUGACAGUGGCUGUCCUCCCUACCGUGCACACAUGGAUGCAUGGCCACCGUGGGAUGAUACCCCCCACCCCCUACCCCACCGCCAUCAUCCACCCAACCACACACGCACAUACACAUAAACACACACACACAUUCAAAAGGUUAAUUAAUGUGUCCAUGUGUUUAUGGCCAUCCAGCAGUCUACAAGGGAGUCUGUGAGAGAUUUGUGUACACAUAAAAAAUAUGCACUAACGUUGCUAAGCUCACACAUGACACCAUUUGCACACUUGACAAGAGCGCUGAGAGACACAGGUGAUUUCAUGCGAUAGAAAUAAUAAAAUGAAAAAAAAAAGCUGGCAAUAAAACCUGUCCUAAAAUAAUAAAAGCCUAAUUUCACUACUGUGUUGUCUAAAUAAGUGAAUGCAAAUAUGCCUGUGACUGUUUCUGUGCAAAUAUGGGUGCUGUUUUUGUAUAAAAAAUUAAACAAACUGGAUUUGA